GACGAACGCUGGCGGCGUGCCUAAUACAUGCAAGUAGAACGCUGAAGGAGGAGCUUGCUUCUCUGGAUGAGUUGCGAACGGGUGAGUAACGCGUAGGUAACCUGCCUGGUAGCGGGGGAUAACUAUUGGAAACGAUAGCUAAUACCGCAUAAUAGCAGUUGUUGCAUGACAACUGUUUGAAAGGUGCAAUUGCACCACUACCAGAUGGACCUGCGUUGUAUUAGCUAGUUGGUGGGGUAACGGCUCACCAAGGCGACGAUACAUAGCCGACCUGAGAGGGUGAUCGGCCACACUGGGACUGAGACACGGCCCAGACUCCUACGGGAGGCAGCAGUAGGGAAGCUUCGGCAAUGGACGGAAGUCUGACCGAGCAACGCCGCGUGAGUGAAGAAGGUUUUCGGAUCGUAAAGCUCUGUUGUAAGAGAAGAACGAGUGUGAGAGUGGAAAGUUCACACUGUGACGGUAUCUUACCAGAAAGGGACGGCUAACUACGUG
This 495-nucleotide ribosomal RNA is filed under the name uncultured bacterium. Its description in RNAcentral is "partial 16S ribosomal RNA". It matches the Rfam family "Bacterial small subunit ribosomal RNA", at positions 28 to 507 of the family's 1533-position model. The record is from RNAcentral.